RNAcentral lists this transfer RNA (72 nucleotides) under Streptomyces phage NootNoot. RNAcentral's name for it is "tRNA-Val". It matches the Rfam family "tRNA". Rfam says of the family: Transfer RNA (tRNA) molecules are approximately 80 nucleotides in length. The record is from RNAcentral. Lineage: Duplodnaviria; Heunggongvirae; Uroviricota; Caudoviricetes; Stanwilliamsviridae. RNAcentral also lists the same sequence under 6 other names.
ACCCGCUUAGCUCAAUGGUAGAGCGCUUGCUCGACACGCAAGAGACGUGAGUUCAAUUCUCUCAGUGGGUAC